Long non-coding RNA from Fundulus heteroclitus (mummichog), 193 nucleotides. RefSeq lists it as uncharacterized. NCBI's taxonomy places the organism in Eukaryota, Metazoa, Chordata, Actinopteri, Cyprinodontiformes, Fundulidae. The transcript has 3 exons. The record is from RefSeq and is a predicted model, not a curated record.
CUUCCUGAUGCCAGUUUAUGUUAUCUUAAGCAUGCAAAUCGUCAGAGGAGCGACACUGAAAAGCUGUCAUAAAGAAGCGGAGAGGACAAGACAGUAUAAAGAUGGUCAUCUUUGUGUCUGAGCGACACCACAUCCUCUUCUUCUCAACAGACUGACUGCUGCUGGACAAUCAAAGCUAAAAAAAUGAGCAGAA